Molecule: long non-coding RNA, 1011 nt
Filed under: Nicotiana benthamiana
Lineage: Eukaryota; Viridiplantae; Streptophyta; Magnoliopsida; Solanales; Solanaceae
Description: long non-coding RNA (NBEN_LNC027094)
Source: RNAcentral
AUGUGUGGGUGCCAUCUAGACCCUAUUUGUUCCAUGUAAAAGGCAACUCCAGUACCUUCAUUUAUAAGUUUAGAUCCCUCAAAAAUUCCUAGAAGUUUCAGCCAUCUAAACUGUAUCUAAAUAGCUUUUUCUUUCUGAUUUUCAGAUCUAUGUUUGAAAUUCAAACAUACAAAAUCCAAAAACAUUAAAAAAACAGAAAAAAUAAAAAAACAAUCUACUAUUUCACUACUUAGUUUCAAUUCCUACUUGGAUCUCUCUAAUUUCGAGUUCAUAAAGCAUUUAGAAGUAUUUGGUAACUGGUUCGAGUGAAUUUGGACUUGAUUGUGUUGGUUUUGGUUAAAUUUUGCUUUACUGAAGUGGCAGAGCUGUGCUGAAUUCGUUUUUGAGUUUUUUUUGUUGCAUUCAAGUAGUCUACGGUUAAGAUUCUGGUUUUCUGCUUGGUUUUCGAACUUCUCCUGGAUUUUUAGCUCACAUUCUGGGUUUCUAGUUGAUCCUUGCUUACAGUUGCUCUGAUGCUGAUCUCUUUCCUCUGUUACAUUCCCUUUCCAGGUACAUAUUCACUACCUACACUGGAUUUUGUAGUGUGUAAAUCUUUUGGGAAAAUCAAUGAAGAAGAAAUACAAUUUUUUUAACUAGAUUUUGUUGAAUUAACUUUUUAUAGUUAAUUGUAUUUCGAAUAUUGUUUGGACUGUUGAGUUUGUAUGAAGGGACUGAAACUGGACUGCGUAACUUGGACUGCAGUAGCUUGAUGUGAAAUGUUAAUUAUAUUUUGGUAGUAGAAUGCUAAAUAGCUUAGGAAUUUCAUAUUUGAUAAUUAGCUGGAUGGUUAAUGGUGAAAUGGUAGUAUUUGUAGUCAAUUGGAUCCAUGGAUUCUAUGUAAACUUGUCCGCCUAACUAACAACUCGGCUGAAAAUCAAUCAUUGGAUCACCUUUAAUUGCAGUAGCUCAUUUCUAAAUACAUAUGUUGUUUUAAGUGUUAAACUAGUUGAUAGGUGAAACCAAUUUAAAGGU